Molecule: ribosomal RNA, 468 nt
Filed under: uncultured bacterium
Lineage: Bacteria
Description: partial 16S ribosomal RNA
Rfam family: Bacterial small subunit ribosomal RNA
Source: RNAcentral
GAUGAACGCUGGCGGCGUGCCUAACACAUGCAAGUCGAGCGAUUCUCUUCGGAGAAGAGCGGCGGACGGGUGAGUAACGCGUGGGUAACCUGCCCUGUACACACGGAUAACAUACCGAAAGGUAUGCUAAUACGAGAUAACAUACUUUUAUCGCAUGGUAGAAGUAUCAAAGCUCCGGCGGUACAGGAUGGACCCGCGUCUGAUUAGCUAGUUGGUAAGGUAACGGCUUACCAAGGCGACGAUCAGUAGCCGACCUGAGAGGGUGAUCGGCCACAUUGGAACGGAGACACGGUCCAAACUCCUACGGGAGGCAGCAGUGGGGAAUAUUGCACAAUGGGCGAAAGCCUGAUGCAGCAACGCCGCGUGAGCGAUGAAGGCCUUCGGGUCGUAAAGCUCUGUCCUCAAGGAAGAUAAUGACGGUACUUGAGGAGGAAGCCCCGGCUAACUACGUGCCAGCAGCCGCCGUAA